RNAcentral lists this ribosomal RNA (420 nucleotides) under uncultured bacterium. RNAcentral describes it as "bacterial SSU rRNA". It matches the Rfam family "Bacterial small subunit ribosomal RNA", at positions 355 to 787 of the family's 1533-position model. The record is from RNAcentral.
UGGGGAAUAUUGCGCAAUGGGCGAAAGCCUGACGCAGCGACGCCGCGUGGGGGAUGACGGCCUUCGGGUUGUAAACCUCUUUCAGCAGGGACGAAGCGAAAGUGACGGUACCUGCAGAAGAAGCACCGGCCAACUACGUGCCAGCAGCCGCGGUAAUACGUAGGCAGCAAGCGUUGUUCGGAGUUACUGGGCGUAAAGAGUGCGUAGGCGGUUGCUUAAGUUUGGUGUGAAAUCUCCCGGCUCAACUGGGAGGGUGCGCCGAAAACUGGGCAGCUUGAGUGUCGGAGAGGUAUGCGGAAUUCCUGGUGUAGCGGUGAAAUGCGUAGAUAUCAGGAGGAACACCUGUGGUGUAGACAGCAUACUGGACGAUAACUGACGCUGAGGCACGAAAGCGUGGGUAGCAAACAGGAUUAGAUACCC